GCCUCGUUAGUUCAAUGGUAGAAUACUGCGCUUCCAACGCAGUGAUAGGGAUUCGAAUUCUCCUACGAGGCUCCA
RNAcentral lists this transfer RNA (75 nucleotides) under Idiomarinaceae bacterium. Its description in RNAcentral is "tRNA-Gly". It matches the Rfam family "tRNA". Rfam says of the family: Transfer RNA (tRNA) molecules are approximately 80 nucleotides in length. The record is from RNAcentral. Lineage: Bacteria; Pseudomonadati; Pseudomonadota; Gammaproteobacteria; Alteromonadales; Idiomarinaceae.